RNAcentral lists this ribosomal RNA (255 nucleotides) under uncultured bacterium. RNAcentral's name for it is "partial small subunit ribosomal RNA". It matches the Rfam family "Bacterial small subunit ribosomal RNA", at positions 26 to 285 of the family's 1533-position model. The record is from RNAcentral.
AGGACGAACGCUGGCGGCGUGCUUAACACAUGCAAGUCGAGCGGAAAGGCCCUUCGGGGUACUCGAGCGGCGAACGGGUGAGUAACACGUGAGCAAUCUGCCCUUAGCUUCGGGAUAGCUCCGGGAAACCGGAAUUAAUACCGAAUACGACCACGGCCGACAUCAGCUGUGGUGGAAAGUUUUUCGGCUAGGGAUGAGCUCGCGGCCUAUCAGCUUGUUGGUGAGGUAACGGCUCACCAAGGCGACGACGGGGUA